RNAcentral lists this ribosomal RNA (324 nucleotides) under Triticum aestivum (bread wheat). Its description in RNAcentral is "partial small subunit ribosomal RNA". The record is from RNAcentral. Lineage: Eukaryota; Viridiplantae; Streptophyta; Magnoliopsida; Poales; Poaceae.
AUGCUCGCUGGCCGACCUAGUGCUAGGCGUGGACGAAGGCCGACGCGGAGGCGCGGGACUUGUCUCCACCAGAUCGGCGGCCAUGGCAAUCGUGCAUCCGAAGCACCGCGGCCGGGCUCCGUGCCUUCCUCUCCGUCUCGCUCGCCUGGCGCUUGGAGUGUCUGCUCGUCGUCGGCUCCCACCACCCUGUGCGUGCAGUUGUGCUGUGCCCUGACUUGCCCAGGUGCAGGUGCGGCAGUAGUGCCGCGGUGGCUGGUCCCCUGCAACUACAAGCCGGCGCCGGUUGAUGAUCUAUUCCCCACUCCAGCUUUCAUAUCUGCUUAG